RNAcentral lists this long non-coding RNA (341 nucleotides) under Physcomitrium patens. RNAcentral describes it as "long non-coding RNA (PPAT_LNC001887)". Lineage: Eukaryota; Viridiplantae; Streptophyta; Bryopsida; Funariales; Funariaceae. The record is from RNAcentral.
CAUAUCUAUCAUCAUAUUAUUUUAUCUUAUUAUAAAAUUCUUUAGAUUGAACAUUUAUUACCUUAUCACUACCUUCAAAAUCUAAAUCCAAAAAUACUUGUAAUUUAUCCAUGGUAUUAUUAAAGCCACUUUUUUCAAACAUCUCCAAUAUGCAUUCAUAUUUAUCAAGCACUCCACAUUUUUUCAACUCAUAUUCUAUAUUUUUGAUGUUUUUCUUUUCUACUCUUUCAAAUUUUUUUAUAUUUUUAAAUAAAAUAUAUCCAUCCCAUGAUAAUGUAACAAUGGCUUUAUGUCUUUUAAUAAGUGGAAAGCCAUCACUUCUUCUACUAUUGCAACCCCGC